AGAGAAGCAAGACCGNGAGGUGGAGCAAAACUCAAAAACUUAGUCUCAGUUCGGAUUGUAGGCUGAAACUCGCCUACAUGAAGCUGGAGUUGCUAGUAAUCGCGAAUCAGCAUGUCGCGGUGAAUACGUUCCCGGGCCUUGUACACACCGCCCGUCACACCAUGAGAGUUGGCAAUACCCAACGUACGUGAUCUAACCCGCAAGGGAGGAAGCGUCCUAAGGUAGGGUCAGCGAUUGGGGUGAAGUCGUAACAAGGUAUC
This 260-nucleotide ribosomal RNA is filed under the name uncultured bacterium. Its description in RNAcentral is "partial 16S ribosomal RNA". It matches the Rfam family "Bacterial small subunit ribosomal RNA", at positions 1243 to 1500 of the family's 1533-position model. The record is from RNAcentral.